UCGGGGCUUAGUGCCAGGAAGGCAAAUGUGUAGCAAUAACCAUAAAAUGCAAGGUACAUAGAGAUGUCCUCCCAUGCACUUUGACCUAGGUUGUAACAGGUAGGCUUAGUUAGCUAAAAGCAGGAUUCUGUGCUUUCACUUCUUGGUUAAGGCACUCAUUCACCAAAUGUUCUCUUCACUAGUGUCAAACAGUCCUUCAGAAUGGAAGUGGUGCUGCCUGCCCACGGAUUUCUUGUGUAUGUGAUCAUUGUUUUUUUUAAAAGAGUGAAAAUUAGACCCUGCAUCAGCACUGGACCCACACAGAUGUCUGGGAGCCACUGUGCCUGGAGUCUGUGUUUUUGGUAACUUUUCCAUCCACAAAAGCAAUUCAAAUAUUUAGAGACCACCU
Molecule: long non-coding RNA, 388 nt
Filed under: Dasypus novemcinctus (nine-banded armadillo)
Lineage: Eukaryota; Metazoa; Chordata; Mammalia; Cingulata; Dasypodidae
Description: lncRNA (ENSDNOG00000050055.1)
Source: RNAcentral